CCUACGGGAGGCAGCAGUGAGGAAUAUUGGUCAAUGGGCGGGAGCCUGAACCAGCCAUGCCGCGUGAAGGCGAGUGCCCUACGGGCGUUAAACUUCUUUUGUGCGGGAGCAAUAAGGGCCACGUGUGGCCCGCUGAGAGUACCGCACGAAUAAGCAGCGGCUAACGCCGUGCCAGCAGCAGCGGUAAUACGGAGAAUGCGAGCGUUACCCGGAUUUAUUGGUUUUAAAGGGUGCGUAGGCGGCGCUUCAGGUCAGCGGUGAAAUACCCGGGCUCAACCCCGGGGCUGCCGUUGAAACCGGAGCGCUAGAAUUCCGAUGCGGUCGGAGGAAUGUGUGGUGUAGCGGUGAAAUGCAUAGAUAUCACACAGAAUACCGAUUGCGAAGGCAUCUGACGAAUCGGAGAUUGACGCUGAUGUACGAAAGCGUGGGUAUCGAACAGGAUUAGAUACCCCUGUAGUC
RNAcentral lists this ribosomal RNA (459 nucleotides) under uncultured bacterium. RNAcentral describes it as "partial 16S ribosomal RNA". It matches the Rfam family "Bacterial small subunit ribosomal RNA", at positions 338 to 795 of the family's 1533-position model. The record is from RNAcentral.